RNAcentral lists this transfer RNA (72 nucleotides) under Cyprinodon pecosensis. RNAcentral describes it as "tRNA-Gly". It matches the Rfam family "tRNA". From Rfam's summary of the family: Transfer RNA (tRNA) molecules are approximately 80 nucleotides in length. Their secondary structure includes four short double-helical elements and three loops (D, anti-codon, and T loops). RNAcentral also lists the same sequence under 1 other name. The record is from RNAcentral. Lineage: Eukaryota; Metazoa; Chordata; Actinopteri; Cyprinodontiformes; Cyprinodontidae.
AUCUUCCUAGUAUAAAUGUUAGUACGAGUGACUUCCAAUCACAUGGUCUUGGUUAAAAUCCAAGGAAAGAUA